Molecule: long non-coding RNA, 459 nt
Organism: Rhinopithecus roxellana (golden snub-nosed monkey)
Lineage: Eukaryota; Metazoa; Chordata; Mammalia; Primates; Cercopithecidae
Exons: 4
Source: RefSeq, a predicted model, not a curated record
CGGCGCGUCAGGACCCCGGAAGCCGCCCCGUUGGGUGGAGGGAGAGAUGGAGAAUCCAGAAGCUCAGACCCAGAAAUGAGAUCUACGUUGACAAGGCUGGUUUUGAAUCCCUGGCCUCAAGCAGUCCUCCCACCUCAGCCUCCCAAAGUGCUGGGAUUACAAGUGUGAGCCACCAUGCCUAGAUGAUACAGGCCUUCUCAAGCACAGACGCACCUUCGCCUUCUUCAUUGUCGGUGUCCUCACCACCAUUCCUGUCUUCACUGUCAAGGUUCAAGUCAUCCGGAAGGUCCAAGGCCUCGGGUUCUGGCAGCUUUUCCUGAUUGCCAUGACUUUCAACUAGUGCCAUUUGUGAGUCUCUUUGCUCAACCUCCAUCCCUGGAAGAAUGAACAAGGACUCUAGGCCCUGCAAAUGAACUGACACCUGGGACAAGCAACUCAGUGCAGAAGAGCACACUUCAA